RNAcentral lists this ribosomal RNA (434 nucleotides) under uncultured bacterium. RNAcentral's name for it is "bacterial SSU rRNA". It matches the Rfam family "Bacterial small subunit ribosomal RNA", at positions 29 to 507 of the family's 1533-position model. The record is from RNAcentral.
AACGAACGCUGGCGGCAGGCCUAACACAUGCAAGUCGAACGCGCGUAGCAAUACGCGAGUGGCGCACGGGUGAGCAACACGUGGGAACCAACCCAGAGGUUCGGAAUAACCGCGGGAAACUGCGGCUAAUACCGGAUAUCCCCUACGGGGGAAAGAUUUAUCGCCUCUGGACGGGCCCGCGUCCGAUUAGCUAGUUGGUGAGGUAAUGGCUCACCAAGGCGACGAUCGGUAGCUGGUCUGAGAGGACGACCAGCCACACUGGAACUGAGACACGGUCCAGACUCCUACGGGAGGCAGCAGUGGGGAAUAUUGGGCAAUGGAGGCAACUCUGACCCAGCCAUGCCGCGUGGGUGACGAAGGUCUUCGGAUUGUAAAGCCCUUUCGGCGGGACGAUGAUGACGGUACCCGCAGAAGAAGCCCCGGCUAACUUCGUG